GCGGUGGAGCAUGUGGUUUAAUUCGAUGAUACGCGAGGAACCUUACCUGGGCUCAAAUGUAUGUUGACGUAUUCUGAAAGGGAUACUUCUUCGGACAAUAUACAAGGUGCUGCAUGGUUGUCGUCAGCUCGUGCCGUGAGGUGUCGGGUUAAGUCCCAUAACGAGCGCAACCCCUAUCAUUAGUUGCCAUCAGGUCAAGCUGGGGACUCUAAUGAAACUGCCUACGCAAGUAGUGAGGAAGGUGGGGAUGACGUCAAAUCAGCACGGCCCUUACGUCCAGGGCUACACACGUGCUACAAUGGCCGGUACAAAGGGCAGCUACCUGGUGACAGGAUGCUAAUCUCAAAAGCCGGUCUCAGUUCGGAUCGGAGUCUGCAACCCGACUCCAUGAAGUUGGAAUCGCUAGUAAUCGUGGAUCAGCAUGCCACGGUGAAUACGUUCCCGGGCCUU
This 450-nucleotide ribosomal RNA is filed under the name uncultured Sphingobacteriales bacterium. RNAcentral describes it as "bacterial SSU rRNA". It matches the Rfam family "Bacterial small subunit ribosomal RNA", at positions 929 to 1382 of the family's 1533-position model. Lineage: Bacteria; Pseudomonadati; Bacteroidota; Sphingobacteriia; Sphingobacteriales. The record is from RNAcentral.